CUACCAUGCAGUCGAGCGGUAGCACAGAGAGCUUGCUCUCGGGUGACGAGCGGCGGACGGGUGAGUAAUGUCUGGGAAACUGCCUGAUGGAGGGGGAUAACUACUGGAAACGGUAGCUAAUACCGCAUAACGUCGCAAGACCAAAGUGGGGGACCUUCGGGCCUCUUGCCAUCAAAUGUGCCCAGAUGGGAUUAGCUAGUAGGUGGGGUAACGGCUCACCUAGGCGACGAUCCCUAGCUGGUCUGAGAGGAUGACCAGCCACACUGGAACUGAGACACGGUCCAGACUCCUACGGGAGGCAGCAGUGGGGAAUAUUGCACAAUGGGCGCAAGCCUGAUGCAGCCAUGCCGCGUGUAUGAAGAAGGCCUUCGGGUUGUAAAGUACUUUCAGCGGGGAGGAAGGCGAUAAGGUUAAUAACCUUGUCGAUUGACGUUACCCGCAGAAGAAGCACCGGCUAACUCCGUGCCAGCAGCCGCGGUAAUACGGAGGGUGCAAGCGUUAAUCGGAAUUACUGGGCGUAAAGCGCACGCAGGCGGUCUGUCAAGUCUGAUGUGAAAUCCCCGGGCUCAACCUGGGAACUGCAUUCAAACUGGCAGGCUAGAGUCUUGUAAGGGGGGUAGAAUUCCAGGUGUAGCGGUGAAAUGCGUAGAAUCUGGAAGAAUACCGGUGGCGAAGCGGCCCCCUGGACGGAGACUG
RNAcentral lists this ribosomal RNA (696 nucleotides) under uncultured Klebsiella sp. Its description in RNAcentral is "bacterial SSU rRNA". It matches the Rfam family "Bacterial small subunit ribosomal RNA", at positions 49 to 742 of the family's 1533-position model. Lineage: Bacteria; Pseudomonadati; Pseudomonadota; Gammaproteobacteria; Enterobacterales; Enterobacteriaceae. The record is from RNAcentral.